Small nuclear RNA from Peromyscus leucopus (white-footed mouse), 189 nucleotides. RefSeq annotates it as U2 spliceosomal RNA. The transcript has a single exon. NCBI's taxonomy places the organism in Eukaryota, Metazoa, Chordata, Mammalia, Rodentia, Cricetidae. The record is from RefSeq and is a predicted model, not a curated record.
AUCGCUUCUCGGCCUUUUGGCUAAGAUCAAGUGUAGGUAUCAUUGGCCAUCUACUGAAAAGCCAAGUUGAUAUGGUGAGGAUUCAUGUGAACUUUUCAUUAAUAGGGUAUAGUCCUUGAAUCAAAACUGUUUGUCAUCCUAUAUAUUUGCAGUAGUUUUUAAAAGAACUGCAUCCUGAGAAUUUUUCAA